This 520-nucleotide ribosomal RNA is filed under the name uncultured Ilumatobacter sp. Its description in RNAcentral is "bacterial SSU rRNA". It matches the Rfam family "Bacterial small subunit ribosomal RNA", at positions 381 to 916 of the family's 1533-position model. Lineage: Bacteria; Bacillati; Actinomycetota; Acidimicrobiia; Acidimicrobiales; Ilumatobacteraceae. The record is from RNAcentral.
GCCGGAUGCAGCACGCCGCGUGCGGGAAGACAGCCCUAGGGUUGUAAACCGCUUUCAGUAGGGAAGAAAAUGACGGUACCUACAGAAGAAGGUGCGGCCAACUACGUGCCAGCAGCCGCGGUGACACGUAGGCACCAAGCGUUAUCCGGAUUUAUUGGGCGUAAAGAGCUCGUAGGCGGUUUGGUAAGUCGGGUGUGAAAACUCAGGGCUUAACCCUGAGACGCCACCCGAUACUGCCAUGACUUGAGUACGGUAGGGGAGCGGGGAACUCCUGGUGUAGCGGUGAAAUGCGCAGAUAUCAGGAAGAACACCGGUGGCGAAGGCGCCGCUCUGGGCCGUAACUGACGCUGAGGAGCGAAAGCGUGGGUAGCAAACAGGAUUAGAUACCCUGGUAGUCCACGCCGUAAACGUUGGGCACUAGGUGUGGGUCUCAACUAACGAGAUCCGCGCCGUAGCUAACGCAUUAAGUGCCCCGCCUGGGGAGUACGGUCGCAAGACUAAAACUCAAAGGAAUUGACGG